RNAcentral lists this ribosomal RNA (500 nucleotides) under uncultured bacterium. RNAcentral describes it as "partial 16S ribosomal RNA". It matches the Rfam family "Bacterial small subunit ribosomal RNA", at positions 30 to 523 of the family's 1533-position model. The record is from RNAcentral.
AUUGAACGCUGGCGGAAUGCUUUACACAUGCAAGUCGAACGGCAGCACGGACUUCGGUCUGGUGGCGAGUGGCGAACGGGUGAGCAAUGUAUCGGAACGUGCCCAGUCGUGGGGGAUAACGUAGUGAAAAUUACGCUAAUACCGCAUACGAUCUAUGGAUGAAAGCGGGGGAUCGCAAGACCUCGCGCGAUUGGAGCGGCCGAUAUCAGAUUAGGUAGUUGGUGGGGUAAAGGCCCACCAAGCCAACGAUCUGUAGCUGGUCUGAGAGGACGACCAGCCACACUGGGACUGAGACACGGUCCAGACUCCUACGGGAGGCAGCAGUGGGGAAUUUUGGACAAUGGGCGAAAGCCUGAUCCAGCCAUUCCGCGCGCAGGAUGAAGGCCCUCGGGUUGUAAACUGCUUUUGUACAGAACGAAAAGGUUUCUACUAAUACUAGGAGCUCAUGACGGUACUGUAAGAAUAAGCACCGGCUAACUACGUGCCAGCCGCCGCGGUAA